This 250-nucleotide unclassified non-coding RNA is filed under the name plant metagenome. Its description in RNAcentral is "partial contains small subunit ribosomal RNA, internal transcribed spacer 1, and 5.8S ribosomal RNA". The record is from RNAcentral.
GUAGGUGAACCUGCGGAAGGAUCAUUAACGUUAAUUUUUAACUCUUAGAGUUUUCUCUAAGGUUAAUUUAUUAUCUUUAUUCUCUCUCUCUUUUUUUUAAACGCAUUCUUCUUUUAAGCUUUCAUCAGCUUAAAUUUAGAAACAUAAGAACUAUUGAGCUCAUCUAAAAAAAUGAGUCUCAAUCUUUAAUCUUUUCGGUUCUUCUGUAGAGGUCAUUCUCUAUAGUAUAAAACCAAAAGUUUUAAAUUUU